CCUGGAUGCAGGUUGCUGAAACCGUUGCUGUCCUUGUUUUCAUCCUGAAUGAUGAGCUGGAGUCCACUCUCCUCCUUUGACAGGUUCUUUAUACAGACAGAAGACAGAAACAGAACGAGGCUGAGAGACAGCAAAACAAAGCCGAUACUAAGAAUCACACGAAUGGAGUCUCCACCAGUCGCUGCUGAAACAUCACAUCACAGUCAGCACACAGGGGACGAAGUGCUUGCAGGUCACAGCAGUCAGAAUGAGAAGCAGUCCAACAAUUCCCACCAUGAGGAGGACCAUACCUGAAC
Long non-coding RNA from Lates calcarifer (barramundi perch), 296 nucleotides. RefSeq lists it as uncharacterized. The record is from RefSeq and is a predicted model, not a curated record. The transcript is spliced from 3 exons. Lineage: Eukaryota; Metazoa; Chordata; Actinopteri; Centropomidae.